UGACAAACACAAAGGAAAAAAGAAGAGGCACCUCCAAUUUGUUCUCUAGGGCUUUUGGAAAACAUGGAGUUGUUCCUUUGGCCACAGACACAGGAAUCUACAAGAAAAAGCGAUGUUGUAGACAUCAAGAAAAUGAAAAUGGCUACUGUUCAAAAAGGAAUGCCCACAAAUAUUACCAUGGCAAAACUGGAAGUUACAAUGUUAUCCAGCAUGCUGUUGGCAAUGCUGUAACAAACGAAAUUCUUGCCAAAAGAAUUAAUGUAUAUAAUGAGCAUAUAAAGCACUACAGCUGAGAUGGCUUCCCAAAACACAUGAAGGAAAAAGAUCAGAAAAAGAAGGAAGCCAAAGAGAAAGGUACCUAGGUACAACUGAAGCACCAGCAUUCUCCACCCAGAAAAGCACACUUUGUGAGAACCAAUGGACAGGAGCCUGAACUGCUGGAACCUAUAACCUGUGAAUUCAUGGCA
RNAcentral lists this long non-coding RNA (467 nucleotides) under Homo sapiens (human). RNAcentral describes it as "non-protein coding lnc-MYO1E-2:1". The record is from RNAcentral. Lineage: Eukaryota; Metazoa; Chordata; Mammalia; Primates; Hominidae.